Gigantopelta aegis is the source of this 1148-nucleotide long non-coding RNA. RefSeq lists it as uncharacterized. The record is from RefSeq and is a predicted model, not a curated record. NCBI's taxonomy places the organism in Eukaryota, Metazoa, Mollusca, Gastropoda, Neomphalida, Peltospiridae. The transcript is spliced from 2 exons.
ACUUAUACAAACUUAUACUUUACAUAUACACCACUUAUAAGUGGCCUAUAAGUUACCCAUAUAUUGGUAUAAGUGAAGUAUCAGUGUGUAUAAGUAUAAGUGAAAAGAAUGGUUAACCGAUACAUCACUGAUACUCCACAUAUAUUUCACCUAUAAGUGGUUUAUCAGUGGUAUAAGUGUUCUGGAAUUAAGAUAUUUUUUGUUUGUUUCUAUAAGUGAAAUAUAAGUGAACAAUUAGUUUGGAGAUAGUCUUUUUGAAAAGGAAAUGAUGUGUUCCAAAUGAACAGGGAAAAAACUAAGUCCAAAAAAAUUUCAUGGUUAUUUUUUAAAAAUUCAUAACUUCUCACAGGAUUUAUCAAAUUCAUUGGGAACAGUGGCUAAACAACCAAACAUACAUCUAACAGAAUUUGAUAGUAUUUCCAGUAAUAAUAUUUUUUUUUAUUAAUAUUAAUAUUAAUACACAUGAUGCUAUAUGAUUAUAAUUAUCCCAUGCUACCUCCUCACUUAAAUAGACCCUCCAGACUCACCACCUGUCACAAUAAAUAUCUGUAAAAUUGUAGUGGCAGGGCAGAGGGUGUGUGUGUGUGUGUGUGUGUGUGUGUGUGUGUGUGUGUGUGUGUGGAGGUGAGCUCCAUUUCAGUGUGUUUAUUACAGCAUGGAUUUAUUUUAUCUAUUAAUGGUAAUUUGUAUUUACAUAUAAAAAAGUUAAUUAACUAAAAAAAAAAAAAAAAAAAAAAACACAAGAAAAACAAAGACAACAACAAUGACAUCAGGAAUUCAGAUAGAACAAGGGAUUAUUAUGAGAGGUGCAAAAUCCUGAGAUUAAUAGCCUUGCCAUCUUAGGCAGUAUGGUGCAACUUCAAAAGGACUUAAUUCAGACACCACUGUGUGGGUCUCCAGCCAGUAGGAGGAAACCCAAAGAAGAAAACCAAAAUGGCGGCACCUGGACAUUUUCUUUGUGCACAUGUGUUUAGUUAAGACUAUACCUCAUGUCCGUGGAACAAGUCUAUCAUACAGGAAAACUAAUUUGAAUCCCAUCUGAAUGUUGGAUGACAUAUAUCAAGAUGGCACUGAACAGGACAUAACUGAAGAAAAGGGAUGUGAGAGAAUCCAAUCUAACAUUUAAAAAUAAAUAUAUAUAUAUAUUA